UACGUAGGGGUGCAAGCGUUGUCCGGAAUUAUUGGGCGUAAAGAGCUCGUAGGCGGUCUGUCGCGUCGGAUGUGAAAACCCAGGGCUCAACCCUGGGCCUGCAUUCGAUACGGGCAGACUAGAGUUCGGUAGGGGAGACUGGAAUUCCUGGUGUAGCGGUGAAAUGCGCAGAUAUCAGGAGGAACACCGGUGGCGAAGGCGGGUCUCUGGGCCGAAACUGACGCUGAGGAGCGAAAGCGUGGGGAGCAAACAGG
RNAcentral lists this ribosomal RNA (254 nucleotides) under uncultured bacterium. Its description in RNAcentral is "partial 16S ribosomal RNA". It matches the Rfam family "Bacterial small subunit ribosomal RNA", at positions 524 to 776 of the family's 1533-position model. The record is from RNAcentral.